Non-coding RNA from Chrysemys picta bellii (western painted turtle), 6648 nucleotides. The record is from RefSeq and is a predicted model, not a curated record. Lineage: Eukaryota; Metazoa; Chordata; Testudines; Emydidae.
AUAAAAGAAGGUCAUGAGAAUAAGUAAUAUUGCUUAUAGUGUGGGAAAGCCGUUUGGACUGCUCAAGUGAAAAGCUGCAGUAAUAAGACAAAGAGAAACUGUCUUAAAAGAAACAAGCGAAAACCUUCCCAUGGGUCUGAUGGUAAGGGGGGAGGAGGAGAUAAGAAAGGAGGCCUUGGCAGAAGGGAAGGAGCAAGGCUGAACUGUUCAAACUGGGAUUUGCUAAAGCUAGCAAGUUAGCUGAGGUGUCUAAAGAGAGCUGUGAAUGUGAAGGUGCUUUGUCAGGCCUGACCUGAUCACACCGGGGCAUAGCAGGCUGAGAUGCUCAUCCCCAAGUCCAGCCCGUUUUUCAACGUCUUUCUAACUAAGGACCAGAGGACGUGAUUGUAGCUGUGGCAGUCGUCCAGGAGAAGAAUGAAAAAUGACAAAGCCAGCGCCCCUCGGGAGCAAGGGCAGGGGUGAGCUACACAACAGAAGCAAUGUUAGGAACACGGAGCCUUAAGGUGGCCCUGAGCAAUCAGACAGUCACUUUGAUACGGGUCCGUGGAAACUCUGCAAGCACAAAAUAAAGUUGCACGUCCUGUGAAAAUUGAUGUAGCUAAUAUAAUGUGAUAGCAAAGAAAAAUGGGAGUUGAACGCUGGAAGGAAUGUGCAUUUCCCCCUGGACUGUGCAAUGUACAUGUAAAAGGGGUAAAAGAAAGGUGACCAAAACAUGCUACUUAAUUCAAAUCUUCUUUUUCCGGUGGCUGUGUGCUUCGGAAGCAGAAACCAACCCAGCACCAAAAAAGCUCCAUGCAUUUCAGAAAUGGUCCUUAACCGGUAUAAAUCUUUUCCAAACAUUAUGAUGAAUUGUGGCGUAAAUUCAAUGUUAUUAGGGAGUGAAACGCUACACGGUGGUGUGGUGUAAAGGAAGAAGAAGAAUUGUAUUAAAACUAAGUAAUUGACUAAUAGAUUGAAAUGCCCUCGAUUGAAAACAAAUCCGGCUAGUGGUUUAAGGUUAAACCUGUUCAGAAAAUAUUGUGCAAUAUGGAGAUGAUAUUCUGGGCCACACUGCUGACAGGAAGCCCUUUAAAAGUAUUGGAAACCCUGUUUGCAGGAGGUUUCCUUCCUGGGUCUAUCCCUGCAACCCAGCCAGCAAGCUGCAGACAGACAAAAGGGUGAAGUGAUUUUGGAGCUGCCCCUCCCUGGUUCAGCUGGGUGUGACGGGCUUUUGUCAGGAUUUCAUCCCUGCCUAGGCAAUCGCUGCACGUCUCUACCAGCUCCUGCAAUAAAAGGUCGAGUAGGAAUGGCCCCGCCCCCAGCAGCGUAUACAUUAAAAGGGGGUCGCCGUGUUAGUCCGUAUCAACAAAAACAACAAGGAGUCCGGUGGCACCUUAAAGACUAACAGAUUUAUUUGGGCAUAAGCUUUCGUGGGUAAAAAAAACCUCACAUUAAAAGAGGCUUUAACACAAGCGCCAGGUCUUGGCACCCCAGAUUAGAGAAAACUUUUUGGAUUGUUUGUAUCAACCAGGGACACAGCCAUUUCAGCUACGUGGAUGCAGGACUGUCAGGGCAGAGAAAACCCUAUUGCGUAUGCAUCCAGGAUACUGAACGGAGUUGAAAAACUUAUUUCCUGUUUGCUGGCCUCGACACAUUUUAGAUGGGGGUUGGGACGCAUAAAACAGUACGCUGCUCAUACUCCCUUCAAGUAUCCUUUGUCUGGUAAAUUCUGAAGGGCUGCACCCUGAGGGGCUGAGAGCAUAUGUCAAUGGGUCGUCCUAUCACCAAAAAGGGACCUCAGGCACAGGUAGGGUGACCAGACACCAAGUGUGAAAAAUCGGGACGGGGGCAGGGGGUAAUAGGAGCCUAUAUAAGAAAAAGACCCAAAACUCGGGACUGUCCCUGUAAAAUCGGGACAUCUGGUCACCCUCGGCACAAGAUCUGUGCAGUACAGGGCAGCACGCGGAAUUGGCUGCUGUAACAGCGGCAUUCCCACUCUGUACCUAAGGACAAGUGCCGGCAGGUGUGAUACGUUCUGACUCUCAGUGAGUGUCUCCCCUGGUGGAGCCUGAAUUUAUUUUGCCCGCAGCUCACCAGCCUUGAUGCUAUCGAGCCCUUUUGUCCUAUGCCUGGGAACUCACGAAUCAAUGGGGUGAGUCAGCGGAGUCUGCGGUUAAGGUAAAAGUUCACUCCAGACAUGGGGUAGUCAGCAAGAAAACAGCACAGGGUGGAUGAAGCUGCUGCGAGUGGAGCUCCAGUGUGGGUCCCUCCCCCUGCUCAUCCGGUCCUUGCUGGGCCCACUCCAGCACUUUGAUUUAAUAACGUUCCAAGAAGCUGCUCCACGGGGAUCUGCUCUUAACACAAAGUAAUGCACAGGGCACGAAACCCGUUCCAUGGCAAAUGGCUCCUUGGUGCUCAGUGAAGGGGAUGGCUUAGCUUACCCGCUCUGAGAGGUGCUGCCCUACCCCCUAGCAUGAAGUGGUUUCCAUCAGACAGUUUGGUUCAAUGGCUCUCAGCACCCCCACUGUACAAAUUACUCCAGCAUCCCUGCCCGCUUUGAAUUCCUCUGCGGCCUCUUCAAAGGGAAAUGUUGCGAUCGGUGCAUGAGAUACCGUUGGGGGCCCACCAAAGUGGUGAUGCCACUUAGCAGUGACUGAUAAGGCAGCCGAGUGGCCCGACUGUAAAAAAGAUGUAACAAUUUGUGUUAGCCAUUGCCUGGUUUGUGCUAAAAACAAUCCACCAGGGAAAACAGACUGUGGAUUUACCCGGGCACAGCACCGCAGGAAAGAUUGCAGAUUAACUACACAGGGGAGUUGCCCCCGCACAAGAAGAGGCAACCAACAUUUACGGGUAAUCGCUGAUGCCUUUACUAAAUGGACAGAAGCCCUGCCUUACUGGAAAAGCCUCGGCUCGUGUUACAGCCAAACUCUUAGUGGAGCCUGUCUUUUCUGGAGGAUGCCCCACACCAUAGACAGUAACCGGGGAACAACCUUCACGGGGAAGGUGAUGAAAGAUGAUUGCGUCAUGCUGCGACUAGAGUAAAAAUUUCACAUACCUUAGAGUCAUAGAAUCAUAGAAUCUCAGGGUUGGAAGGGAGCUCAGGAGGUAUCUAGUCCAACCCCCUGCUCAAAGCAGGACCAAUCCCCAACAAAAUCAUCCCAGCCUUAUCUCCCCCAGGCUUCUGGCUCGGUGGAAAGACCAAACAGAACCAUCAGAACGAUGCGAGAGACGGUGGUAUGUGAACCAGGCAAAGACUGGGAUGGAAAAUUGCCUGUGAUCCUUAUGGUUUUAAGGGGAACCCAAAAGCAACCAACCAGGAUCUCUCCUUUGACUGCCAUGACAAGCCGAGAAAUGAGACUCCCAGAACAUUUGUUCACUAGUCCCAUGCCACGCCUAAUGAAGGAAGGGUUGGUCACAGAACAAUGGGUCAGACCGCUGGAAAAAAUGGUACAAGUCAUGUGCGUGUGUAGUGCAGAGUAGCAGGGAUGGGAUCAUGCCAAAAACGAGGGCAUGCUUUAACAACAAGCCCAAAAUCCAGAGGACAGAGCGCUGGUACUAUUGACCCCGGAAAAAAACCCGUUUCCAGCACCCAGGUGGUGAGGCCCCUGCUAUAUAAUGCAAAGAAGGCAGCUCUGCAGUUCUCUGGUACGAAUAGAAGCAGGACCUAAAAGCAAGGAUCGAUGGCUACGUGCUACUCCAGUUAAACCUGGUUAAUUGUUCCCACUAAGGCCAUGUCUACACUUCGAGCUUACAGCGGCACCGAUACAGCUGUGUUGCUGCAAGCGCAUUCGUUCGCCGCAUCGUGCUCUCCCGUCGCCAUCAUAAAACCAGCUCAAGGAGCGGUGCUAGCGACAUCAGCAGGAGAGCGUCUCCCGCUGACAGCGCUGGGCACAUGAGCACAUAAGCUGGCAAAAAUUAUGUUGCUCCGGGGGUUGUUUUUUCACACCCCUGAGUGACAACAAUUUUGCUGACGUAAGCGCUAGUGUAGGCAUGGCCUAGGGCAGCACCGGAAAUCGUGGUUUGUUUUUCAGGCUGUUGGUAGCGUCCAGAGAGGCCGGUGUGAUUGUGGGUGGAGAAGGCGCGUCAAUAAAACGCAGAAAUAACAAUCCGAAUUUGGGGAUCUGAGGAAGCCGCUGUCAUUGAAGUGACAGCCGGAGCCCAGCUCAGUCAGGGUGUGAAAUAAACAAUGCCACUGGAUAUCGCACACCAUUCCGCAAGUGGCCUGAAGACAAGCGAAAAAAAGGUGAUUGCAUAAGAAUUGACAAUUGUAGCAUCAGUCCCCAUUUAGGGAAUGGUACCUUCAGUUUUCCAUAUGUGCAUGCUAGGCAUGAGAGGCAUUACACGUGUUUUGUGUUUCCUGUAAUAUUUAAUCAAACAAGGGUUUAGCAAUGUGUACUCUACAGGGCGUCAGGGAAGGUAGCCAUAAGGGUGGCACAAAUACCGUACAUUGGAAAAAAACCCACAAUGCCCCACAGUGGAGGCAGGACCCAGUAAUGGACGGGUAUUAAGGCCCCUUAAAGAGCUGUUCAAUUAUGUUCAAUUUAUACAUGUACCUGUGCUGUUCAGCUUGACUUCACUGCAUUUGCCAAAGGGUUUAUGUCCACCAGGGUUUGGCCAAUUGUCACGCACAAUGAUAAAGGACUCCUGGAGAGACUUUGUCGAUAGAAAUGCAGAUAUAAGUGGAGUCUGAAAGAAUGGAUGAAUUCUCCCCUGACAGCUAGCUAGAAGGGGGGAGAGACUUCAGGCGCAAACUGCAUUUAUAUGAACACACCUUCUCUGCUUAGAUAUCCAGCAGAUAGAGCGGUGUUGCUCAAGUAAUCAACUUGGGCUGGUGUUGGGUUACAAAUCACUUUAGUACUGAGUGUAGGGAUAGUGAAAUGCUGUUAUCAAUGGGGUGGCAUUGUUGUAUGAAUGAAAGGGAGCAGAACUGUGCUUAACCUGUCCCAAAUGAGGGGACCACCCUCAGCUGAAAGGACCUUGUUAAACCAGGGGCUUGAAUGCCAGAGCCCGUGAAAGUAAAAGGGGUGGGGACAGGUGUUCUAGCCAGGAGGUGUGAACUCGCCCUAGGGGGUCCCCCCCCCACGCUGGUUUACCCCAUUCCUCCCCACUGCUCAAAGAAAGAGCUAAAUAGGCUCCAUUGUGCGCCUCUUUGUUAUUUUAAAUGCUCCAUCAGAGCUGAAAUCAGUUGUGGUGGGACCGUGUCUCUGCCCAGCCUGCGAAGAGCUGAAAAUCACUGAGACGGAUGUGCAGAGGUCACAGCAGAGUGGCAGGUGGCAGCAGAAGGUGACUGACAGUUGGCUGGCGAACGAGUGGUUGGUGAAGCGGUGAGCAGAACAAACCGCUGGCGAGGCAGUGAGGAACCGUGGCUGGCGGAACGGCCAGCAGAGAGGAACCAUGGCUGGUGGGCCAGCCAGCCGGCAAGGAGCAGCUGCUGGCGAGGUGGCCAGCUGAAGCAAGUGCUCAGAUGCAGAGCAAGCAAGGUGCCUUCUUCCCCAGGUGCGAGGUGAACUCACACAGAUGCACCUCUGAACCCUGGGUCCUCUCUGACCAAGGACAACCCCCGUGAGUGGGGUAUGGAGAGGAAGCGGAGAGAGGCACAGAAAAGGAACUUUUGGUUGUAGAACUCAAGAACAUGAGACAGACGACUCUGCCCCUGGCACUCUGGGGUGGGCGUCCUGCUCACAGUGUUAUGUUUAUGAAUCCUGUUUGUGGCAUUUUCCCUAAUUAAUGCCAGGUGACUUCCCUCCAUUCAUUAAAAUUUUCUUUUCUACACUCAGACUCUGUGCUUGCGAGCGGGGAAGUAUGGCCUCGCAGAGGCGCCGAGGGGUGGUGUGUAAUUUUCCCAGGUUACUGGGUGGGGGCUCGAGCCAGUUCUGUGUUGUAUCGAUGGAAAGGAACCCCUAGAUAUUGAACCUGGCCCUGGUUGCUGCCGGCUCCACCUGGCAGAAGGGUUACACAUAGGCAAAGGCACCUGAAUCAAUUCAAAGGUGAAGCCAGUGGCACCGAUCCACUAGUGAUAUAACAGGAUGGUUUGGAGCCGGAGCAUUAAUCUGGAACCAGGAGGGCAUUGAGACCCUGGGGGAGCACGAUCAAACUUUCAAACACAAGCUGGCUGGGACAUACUUAGCCCAAAGAAUGAGCAAAGCAAAGAACUCCUGAACCAAGAACUUCUGCAUGUAUCUAAUGUGCAUAAUGUUGUUAAUCAUCGAAGCAGGGCAGUCACCAGGGCCAUGACACGUUCUGUGGAUAGGGGUAUGCCCUAGACAAAAUCAAAGCCACUCUCCCUGAUAUAGAACACAGUAAAUCACCCGCUUUCAUCACCCCAGAGAAAUGGACAACUUGGUGUGGCAAAGAUCAUAUUGACUGGUCUAAAAUAACAACAACAGCAAAACCUCGCAUGGGUCCAGUGCAAUGGGGUUAAUUGUGGGAAGAAUACAGGACUCCUUAUCCCAUUCACGCUAGCCACCCCAGCAAUCGCAGAACACCAGAUCAUUCAAACCCUUGUUAGAAUAGCACCUGUAGGAGACCAGGAAGACACUGCAACCCAUAAGGCUUGAAAAGAAUUAGUUUCUCCUCCAUACUAUUGCCAGAUAAGGUCUGGAAAGCCCCGCACGUAAGAACAGAAGAACAGCCAUACUGGGUCAGACCAAAGGUCCAUCUUGCCCAAUA